GAUGAACGCUGGCGGCGUGCCUAAUACAUGCAAGUCGAGCGAACGGACGAGAAGCUUGCCUCUCUGAUGUUAGCGGCGGACGGGUGAGUAACACGUGGAUAACCUACCUAUAAGACUGGGAUAAAUUCGGGAAAACGGAGCUAAUACCGGAUAAUUUUUUGAACCGCAUGGUUCAAAAGUGAAAGACGGUCUUGCUGUCACUUAUUGAUGGAUCCGCGCUGCAUUAGCUAGUUGGUAAGGUAACGGCUUACCAAGGCAACGAUGCAUAGCCGACCUGAGAGGGUGAUCGGCCACACUGGAACUGAGACACGGUCCAGACUCCUACGGGAGGCAGCAGUAGGGAAUCUUCCGCAAUGGGCGAAAGCCUGACGGAGCAACGCCGCGUGAGUGAUGAAGGUCUUCGGAUCGUAAAACUCUGUUAUUAGGGAAGAACAUAUGUGUAAGUAACUGUGCACAUCUUGACGGUACCUAAUCAGAAAGCCACGGCUAACUACGUG
Molecule: ribosomal RNA, 497 nt
Filed under: uncultured bacterium
Lineage: Bacteria
Description: partial 16S ribosomal RNA
Rfam family: Bacterial small subunit ribosomal RNA
Source: RNAcentral